RNAcentral lists this ribosomal RNA (378 nucleotides) under uncultured bacterium. Its description in RNAcentral is "bacterial SSU rRNA". It matches the Rfam family "Bacterial small subunit ribosomal RNA", at positions 30 to 409 of the family's 1533-position model. The record is from RNAcentral.
AUUGAACGCUGGCGGCAUGCCUUACACAUGCAAGUCGAACGGUAACAGGCCGCAAGGUGCUGACGAGUGGCGAACGGGUGAGUAAUACAUCGGAACGUGCCCGAGAGUGGGGGAUAACGGAGCGAAAGCUUUGCUAAUACCGCAUACGAUCUACGGAUGAAAGCAGGGGACCGCAAGGCCUUGCGCUCAUGGAGCGGCCGAUGGCAGAUUAGGUAGUUGGUGGGAUAAAAGCUUACCAAGCCGACGAUCUGUAGCUGGUCUGAGAGGACGACCAGCCACACUGGGACUGAGACACGGCCCAGACUCCUACGGGAGGCAGCAGUGGGGAAUUUUGGACCAAUGGGCGAAAGCCUGAUCCAGCCAUGCCGCGUGCAGGAU